Non-coding RNA from Arachis ipaensis, 4356 nucleotides. The record is from RefSeq and is a predicted model, not a curated record. Lineage: Eukaryota; Viridiplantae; Streptophyta; Magnoliopsida; Fabales; Fabaceae.
GGACCAUUCACAUUUGGUUUCCUCUCCAGUUGGUGGAGGAUGGUCCCCAUGACGUUAAACAUCAAACUCAUCAUUUCAAUACAUUUGCAUUCCAUUUAGAAAAUAGAAGUAUCUUAUCCAAAAAAAAAGUAAGAAAUGAGUGAAUGAAAUGUGAUGCAAAAACAAAAAAGAAUAUAUGUGCACUACUCAAUAAAUGAAGUGGGCCAUAAACUUUUUGAAAGCACUGAAACAUGUCACUGCCUUGGAGGAAGAAACAAAGAAGCAUAUGUGAACUUGUCCCCAGUACCAAUAACAGUAAGCAUUUCAAGAAAAUAUCACCACCACACCAUAUACUUGGCUAUGCUACAAUGCAAACUACCACUUCACUAUUACCCUUCUGUUUUCGUCAAUUCUGAGUUUUGAGUGCAUACCUCAAACCACUUCCCUCACUCUUUCAUACUUUGAUCUUGUGAACAUGGCUGCUGAACUUGUUGGAGGAGCUUUUCUCUCUUCUUUUCUCAAUGUCCUUUUCGACAGGCUGUCUGAUCCUGAUUUCAUCAACAUGAUGAGAGGAAAGAAGGUUGACCAGAAGCUGCUUCAAAGGCUGAAGACCAUUCUGAAUGUGGUUGAAGCUGUGCUGAAUGAUGCUGAGAAGAAACAGAUCACUGACCCUGCUGUCAAGAGGUGGCUCGAAGAUCUCCAAGAUGCUGUCUAUGAAGCUGAUGACUUGUUGGAUGAAGUUGCUACCAAAGCUGCCACUCAGAAGGAUCCACCAGGUAACUUCCUGUCUCACUUUCUCAAUUCGCAAGAUAGGGAGAUGGUUACUAGGAUUGAAGACAUCAUUGCUAGACUAGAAGAUAUUGCAAAACACAAAGAUAUCCUUCGACUAGAAAAGAUUGCAGCCAAGAACAUGUCUGGGAGGAUUCCAUCAACCUCGCUGGUUAAAAAAUCUGAUAUAUUUGUUGGAAGGGACAAAGAAAGGGAUGCCAUAGUGAAUUUGCUUUUAGAUGAUGCUUACAAUGGUGAACUGUCCGUGAUUCCCAUCAUGGGCAUGGGUGGGAUAGGAAAAACUACUUUGGCUAAAUUGGUUUAUAAUGAUGACAAAGUGCAGCAGAAGUUUAAUGUGAAGGCAUGGGUUUGUGUUGGUGAGGAGGAAUUUGAUGUUCUGAAGGUCACAAAGGCUGUGAUAGAGAAAACUUGCAGUCCUUGUUACUCAAAUGAUUUAGAUUCAGCUCAAAAUCAUUUGAAGAAUGGGCUAGCGGGGAAGAACUUCUUGGUUGUUCUGGAUGAUGUAUGGAGCAGUAAUCGUGAGCUUUGGGAAAGUUUUCUAACACCUUUUGAAUGUGGAAGUGAGGGAGGCAAGAUUCUUGUAACAACACGUCUUGAUACAGUUGCUUCUGUGGUGAAAACUAAACAUAAUGAAGCUCACAAUUUAAGUUUGUUGGAUGAAGAACAAUGCUGGUCGGUGUUUGCAAAUCGAGCAUGGGGUCCUACAGAAUCCCGAGAUCAUUCAGCUUUAGAAGAAAUUGGUAGAAUAAUUGUUAUAAAAUGUAAAGGAUUACCUUUGGCAGCUCAAACAGUUGGAGGGUUAUUGAGAGGGAAAGAUAAUGAAAAAGAUUGGAAUGAUGUUUUGAAUAGUGAAUUCUGGGAACUCUCUGAAGAGGAUAGUGGGAUUCUUCCUGCAUUGAGAAUCAGUUAUUAUCACCUCCCAUCAUAUUUGAAACGCUGCUUUGUUUAUUGUUCUUUGUUUCCGAAGGACUUUGAAUUUGACAGAGAUGAAUUGACAUUAUUGUGGAUGGCAGAAGGUCUUUUGCUACAACCAAAGAGUGGAAACAAUUUGGAAGAAAUUGGUUAUGAAUAUUUUGAUGAUUUGGUUUCGAGAUCAUUUUUUCAACAUUCUAACUCUGCUAAAAAUUCAUUUGUAAUGCACGAUCUCAUGCAUGAUUUAGCAAAGUUCUAUGGUGGAAAGUUCUUUUCUAGUAUCCUUGAUCUCAAGAAUGCAGCAAAGCAUGAUACCAAAACUCGCCACUUGUCAUGGGCUCGCAAGAAUGACGAUGAUUCGCUUAUGAAGAUCAUGGAAGCAUGCAAUAGGUUAAAACAUGUGAGGACAUUGUUGCAACUCAAUUUGCAUAAAGGUCAUGGAACCCGAGAGGGAGAUAGAGUAGCCGUUCCUUGUGACUUACUAGAACAAUUGAAGUGCUUACGAGUUUUGUCAUUUAAUUUUUUUUCAGAUGAUGAAAACUUGUUGCAUCGUUCAAUUGGUGAAUUGAUCCAUUUGCGUUAUUUGGAUCUUUCAUACACAUCCAUCGUGACAUUGCCCGAGUCGUUAAGUUUGUUGUACAACUUACAAACCCUGAAGUUGAAACUUUGUAGAAAUCUUAAAAAGCUUCCCAGAAACAUGCAAAAUCUUGUGAAAUUACAUCAUCUUGAUAUUGGCGGCACUGAUUUGGAAGAGAUGCCAAAAAAGAUGAGCAAAUUAAAAGAUUUGCAAUUUUUAAGUUUCUAUAUUGCGGGCAAACAUGAAGAGAAUGGGAUUGGAGAAUUGGGAGAGCUAGCACAUCUUCAUGGGUCAUUUUGUAUUGAGAAAUUGGAGAAUGUUAAGAAUAGUGGUGAAGCAUGGAAUGCAAGGAUGGAUGAAAAAAUACACCUGAAUGCUUUAUAUUUGAGGUGGUCAUGUUCAUCAUUUGAAGAAAGUGAGGUUUGUGAUUCCCAAAGUGAAAAAGAUGUACUUGACAAAUUACGUCCUCACAAAGACUUGAAGGAGCUAUUCAUCUGGGAUUACAGAGGUACCAUGUUUCCGGAUUGGAUAGGGCAGUCUUGGUACCACAAGAUGACUGAGUUGGAGCUGAGUGGAUGCAGGAAUUGUUGGGUGCUUCCUUCACUUGGACAGUUACCCUCUCUAAUGACAUUGAAGAUUUCAGAUUGUGAUAUGGUGAAGAUGAUUGGUGGAACAUUCUAUAAGGGUGAUGGAACUCAUCAUCAUCAGCAAACACCCUUCCCAUCCCUGAAAUAUCUGUCAUUUUAUUAUAUGAGUUGCUGGGAGGAAUGGGAGUCAUAUGAAUGUGAUGAAGAUGAUGCACCAUUUCCUCAACUUGAGCAUCUAUUGAUAGCGAACUGUCCUAAGUUAAGAGGAGUUUUGCCCUCUUUCCUUCCUGCUUUGAAAGAACUUGUCAUUUCAGGAUGCGAGGAGCUUGGUUGUGAUCUGCCAAGAGCUCCCAUCAUACGCCAAUUAGAAAUAUAUGGCAAACAGGAAGCAAGAAUGCGGGACCUACCACUUUCACUGCAAAAUCUAAGAAUCGAAGGAAACCAACUUGUGGAUUCUCUGUUUGAGGCCAUGACCCACACCCAACCAACCUCUCUCAGUUAUUUAAGAAUCUCAAAUUGCUCAUCAGUCGUAUCAUUUCCAGGGGAUGCUUUGCCCCCUUCGUUGGAAGAUUUGCGCAUAUACGAUUGCAAGAAUGUAGAAUUCCCAAUGCAACACCAACAACAUGAGUCACUAACGUAUCUUACAAUAAAGAACAGCUGUGAUUCACUCACAUCCUUCGCAUUAUCAGCAUUCUCAAAUCUCUAUUAUCUUAGAAUCCAAGAACUUGAAAAUUUGACAUCUCUGGAGGUGUCACAGUCACAGUCCCUCCAAGACUUAUCAAUUUCAGGCUGCCCUAAGCUGGAGAACAUAAUAAGGCUGCCUGCCUGUUUAAGGGUACUAAGAAUCAGAGAAUGUGGGUUGUUGGGUGAAGGCAUAGAGAAGAAGGACCCCCACAUUUGGCCAUCCAUUUCCCACAUCUCCUAUAUUUAUGUUGAUGACAAACGGAUUCGCAAUGACUCAACAUCUUAAAACAGCUUAUUCACCAUUCAAGUUGAUGGCAGGAGACAGUUUCCAUGAGGACUCAACAUCUUAAAGCAGGUCAAACCAAGCAAUGCAUCAUUACAAGAUGUGUCAAGGGUGAAAUACUUGCAUGCAUGUAUAGGAACGGAUCAAACAUAAAGGGGCCAUUCUAAGAUUUAUUUGACUUAUUGGAUGAUUCAAAUGUAAGCUAUGGCCAAUUAUAGAGAUAUCCCAAACUCUCAGCAAAAUGGUACAAUUGGUUCUUGAGAGGCAGAGAAGAAGCAUUUCUAUAAUUGGGGAUAUUGUUGCAGAAGUUUGGAACAGGGGAAUUGCAUGCUUGAGUAGUUGCUGGGAUGUAUAGUUUUUUUUUGAGUUUUUGUGAUGUAAAGUGUUGGUUUGACGAAUCUUGAUGGCAAUGCCGAAGGGAUUCAACCACAACACUAGGCUUUAUGUCUGUUAUUUUGGAUGUUAAUAGGAAAAUUUUAUGUUAUAAACUUCAUUAUUAACUCAUCUAUUCUUAAUAUAUAAAAGUAGAUACAUAAGUUUACCCA